Molecule: ribosomal RNA, 372 nt
Filed under: uncultured bacterium
Lineage: Bacteria
Description: bacterial SSU rRNA
Rfam family: Bacterial small subunit ribosomal RNA
Source: RNAcentral
AACGAACGCUGGCGGCAUGCCUAACACAUGCAAGUCGAACGGGAUCCGAGCUUCGGUUCGGUGAGAGUGGCGGACGGGUGAGUAACGCGUGGGAACCUGCCCAGUGGUGGGGGAUAACUGCGGGAAACUGCAGCUAAUACCGCAUGAGCCCGAGAGGGGAAAGAUUUAUCGCCAUUGGAGGGGCCCGCGUUCGAUUAGGUAGUUGGUGAGGUAACGGCUCACCAAGCCUUCGAUCGAUAGCUGGUCUGAGAGGAUGAUCAGCCACACUGGGACUGAGAUACGGCCCAGACUCCUACGGGAGGCAGCAGUGGGGAAUAUUGGACAAUGGGGGGCAACCCCUGAUCCAGCAAUGCCGCGUGAGUGAUGAAGGCC